Molecule: ribosomal RNA, 394 nt
Filed under: uncultured bacterium
Lineage: Bacteria
Description: bacterial SSU rRNA
Rfam family: Bacterial small subunit ribosomal RNA
Source: RNAcentral
GUGUCAGCAGCCGCGGUAAUACGUAGGGGGCAAGCGUUGUCCGGAUUUAUUGGGCGUAAAGCGCGCGCAGGCGGUCCAUUAAGUUGGGUGUCAAAGGCAUCGGCUCAACCGGUGUUCGCACCCAAAACUGGUGAACUUGAGUGCAGAAGAGGAGAGUGGAAUUCCUGGUGUAGCGGUGGAAUGCGUAGAUAUCAGGAGGAACACCAGUGGCGAAGGCGGCUCUCUGGUCUGCAACUGACGCUGAGGCGCGAAAGCGUGGGGAGCAAACAGGAUUAGAUACCCUGGUAGUCCACGCCGUAAACGAUGAGUGCUAGGUGUCGGGGACUUUCCCGUUCUCGGUGCCGAAGGUAACCCAUUAAGCACUCCGCCUGGGGAGUACGGCCGCAAGGCUGAA